Molecule: transfer RNA, 67 nt
Filed under: Marmota monax (woodchuck)
Lineage: Eukaryota; Metazoa; Chordata; Mammalia; Rodentia; Sciuridae
Description: tRNA.Ala
Source: RNAcentral
GGAUGUGGCUUGGUGGUAGAGCACUUGCCUAGCAUGUGUGAGGCACUGGGUUCAAUUCUCAGCACCA